RNAcentral lists this ribosomal RNA (695 nucleotides) under uncultured bacterium. RNAcentral describes it as "bacterial SSU rRNA". It matches the Rfam family "Bacterial small subunit ribosomal RNA", at positions 85 to 795 of the family's 1533-position model. The record is from RNAcentral.
UAAGCGGUUAGUGGCCUACUGGUGAGUAACACGUAAGAAAUCUGCCUAUCAGAGGGGAAUAACAGUGAGAAAUCAUUGCUAAUACCGCAUAUGCUAUAGGAAUCGCAUGAUUCUAGUAGGAAAGGAGCAAUCCGCUGAUAGAUGAGCUUGCGUCUGAUUAGCUAGUUGGUGGGGUAAAGGCCUACCAAGGCAACGAUCAGUAGCCGGACUGAGAGGUUGAACGGCCACAUUGGGACUGAGAUACGGCCCAGACUCCUACGGGAGGCAGCAGUCGGGAAUAUUGCGCAAUGGAGGAAACUCUGACGCAGUGACGCCGCGUAUAGGAAGAAGGUUUUCGGAUUGUAAACUAUUGUCCACAGGGAAGAAAAAAGACUGUACCUGUGAAGAAAGCUCCGGCUAACUACGUGCCAGCAGCCGCGGUAAUACGUAGGGAGCAAGCGUUAUCCGGAAUUAUUGGGUGUAAAGGGUGCGUAGACGGGAUAACAAGUUGGUUGUGAAACCCCUCGGCUCAACUGAGGAACUGCAACCAAAACUAUUAUUCUUGAGUGCAGGAGAGGAAAGUGGAAUUCCUAGUGUAGCGGUGAAAUGCGUAGAUAUUAGGAAGAACACCGGUGGCGAAGGCGACUUUCUGGACUGUAACUGACGUUGAGGCACGAAAGUGUGGGGAGCAAACAGGAUUAGAUACCCUGGUAGUC